UCAGGACGAACGCUGGCGGCGUGCCUAACACAUGCAAGUCGAACGGGGUUAAUUCCUUCGGGGAUUAACUUAGUGGCGAACGGGUGAGUAACGCGUGAGAAACCUGCCUUUCAGUGGGGGACAACAGUUGGAAACGACUGCUAAUACCGCAUAAUGUAUCGAGGGGGCAUCCUUUUGAUACCAAAGAUUUAUUGCUGAAAGAUGGUCUCGCGUCUGAUUAGCUAGAUGGCGGGGUAACGGCCCACCAUGGCGACGAUCAGUAGCCGGUCUGAGAGGAUGAACGGCCACAUUGGGACUGAGAUACGGCCCAGACUCCUACGGGAGGCAGCAGUGGGGAAUAUUGGGCAAUGGGGGAAACCCUGACCCAGCAACGCCGCGUGAAGGAAGAAGGCCUUCGGGUUGUAAACUUCUUUUAGCAGGGACGAAGGACGUGACGGUACCUGCAGAAAAAGCAACGGCUAACUACGUG
This 469-nucleotide ribosomal RNA is filed under the name uncultured bacterium. Its description in RNAcentral is "bacterial SSU rRNA". It matches the Rfam family "Bacterial small subunit ribosomal RNA", at positions 24 to 507 of the family's 1533-position model. The record is from RNAcentral.